UACGUAGGGUGCAAGCGUUAAUCGGAAUUACUGGGCGUAAAGCGUGCGCAGGCGGUUAUGUAAGACAGGUGUGAAAUCCCAGGGCUCAACCUUGGAACUGCAUUUGUGACUGCAUAGCUAGAGUACGGUAGAGGGGGAUGGAAUUCCGCGUGUAGCAGUGAAAUGCGUAGAUAUGCGGAGGAACACCGAUGGCGAAGGCAAUCCCCUGGACCUGUACUGACGCUCAUGCACGAAAGCGUGGGGAGCAAACAGG
RNAcentral lists this ribosomal RNA (253 nucleotides) under uncultured bacterium. RNAcentral's name for it is "partial 16S ribosomal RNA". It matches the Rfam family "Bacterial small subunit ribosomal RNA", at positions 524 to 776 of the family's 1533-position model. The record is from RNAcentral.